Phacochoerus africanus (Common warthog) is the source of this 414-nucleotide non-coding RNA. Lineage: Eukaryota; Metazoa; Chordata; Mammalia; Artiodactyla; Suidae. The record is from the annotation of a RefSeq genome assembly.
AUGGCCUGGACUCCUCUGCUGCUCGUGCGCCUCUGUCACUGCACAGGCUGUGCUGACGCAGCCGCCCUCCCUCUCUGCCUCUCCUGGACCAUCAGCCAGGCUCCCUGCACCCUGAGCAGUGGCUCCAGUGUUGGCAGCUACCACAUAUCCUGGUACCAGCGGAAGCCUGGGAGCCCUCCCUGGUACCUCCUGAGGUUCCACUUUGCCUCUAGUAAGGACCAGGGCUCGGGGGUCCCUAGCUGCUUCUCUGGGGACAAAGAUGCCUUGGCCAAUGUGGGGCUUCUGCUCAUCUCUGGGCUGCAGCCCGAGGAUGAGGCUGACUGGGACUGUCUCAACUGGCUUCUCACUGUGCUCUUCACAGUGACACAGGCAGAUGGGAACGGGGGACCAAACAAUACCCUGUCCGAGUCUUAG